This 460-nucleotide ribosomal RNA is filed under the name uncultured bacterium. RNAcentral describes it as "partial 16S ribosomal RNA". It matches the Rfam family "Bacterial small subunit ribosomal RNA", at positions 338 to 795 of the family's 1533-position model. The record is from RNAcentral.
CCUACGGGUGGCAGCAGUGAGGAAUAUUGGUCAAUGGACGAGAGUCUGAACCAGCCAAGUAGCGUGAAGGAUGACUGCCCUCUGGGUUGUAAACUUCUUUUAUCUGGGACUCAAAUGUUCACCUUGUGGGAUUUUGUAUGUACCAUAUGAAUAAGGAUAGGCUAACUCCGUGCCAGCAGCCGCGGUAAUACGGAGGAUCCGAGCGUUAUCCGGAUUUAUUGGGUUUAAAGGGAGCUGAGGUGGAGUGUUAAGUCAGUUGUGAAAGUGUGCGGCUCAACCGUAAAAUUGCAGUUGAAACUGGCAGUCUUGAGUACAGUAGAGGUGGGCGGAAUUCGUUGUGUAGCGGUGAAAUGCUUAGAUAUCACGAAGAACUUCGAUUGCGAAGGCAGUUCACUGGACUGCAACUGACACUGAGGCUCGAAAGUGUGGGUAUCAAACAGGAUUAGAUACCCCUGUAGUC